Molecule: transfer RNA, 74 nt
Filed under: Pantoea sp. SoEX
Lineage: Bacteria; Pseudomonadati; Pseudomonadota; Gammaproteobacteria; Enterobacterales; Erwiniaceae
Description: tRNA-Cys
Rfam family: tRNA
About the family: Transfer RNA (tRNA) molecules are approximately 80 nucleotides in length.
Source: RNAcentral
GGCGCGUUAGCAGAAUGGCCAUGCAGCGGACUGCAAAUCCGCUAAUCCCGGUUCGAUUCCGGGACGCGCCUCCA